UACAGAGGGGGCAAGCGUUGUUCGGAAUUACUGGGCGUAAAGGGCGCGUAGGCGGCCUGUUAAGUCGGACGUGAAAUCCCCGGGCUCAACCCGGGAACUGCGUCCGAUACUGGCAGGCUUGAAUCCGGGAGAGGGAUGUGGAAUUCCAGGUGUAGCGGUGAAGUGCGUAGAUAUCUGGAGGAACACCGGUGGCGAAGGCGGGUCUCUGGGCCAUUACUGACGCUGAGGAGCGAAAGCGUGGGGAGCGAACAGG
This 253-nucleotide ribosomal RNA is filed under the name uncultured bacterium. Its description in RNAcentral is "partial 16S ribosomal RNA". It matches the Rfam family "Bacterial small subunit ribosomal RNA", at positions 524 to 776 of the family's 1533-position model. The record is from RNAcentral.